UCAAACUUGGUCAUUUAGAGGAAGUAAAAGUCGUAACAAGGUUUCCGUAGGUGAACCUGCGGAAGGAUCAUUAUUGAAACUUCAUCCGGGGCGCCGCGGCCCUCAGCACCGGUGGAAACGCCGUGUCGCGGGGGCCGCGUGUGCACUCGUCCAAACCAAACCCCUGUGAACCUUUCGGGAGGGCUCGGGUUAACGCCCGGGCCGUCCCGCUUAUACAAACACUUAUUUAAGAAUGAACUGAAGGCGGUCUGACCGCUGGAUAACAAACUGAAACAACUUUCAACAACGGAUCUCUUGGCUCUCGCAUCGAUGAAGAACGCAGC
Molecule: unclassified non-coding RNA, 323 nt
Filed under: uncultured fungus
Lineage: Eukaryota; Fungi
Description: partial contains small subunit ribosomal RNA, internal transcribed spacer 1, and 5.8S ribosomal RNA
Rfam family: Eukaryotic small subunit ribosomal RNA (bases 1-73)
Source: RNAcentral